UACGUAGGCAGCAAGCGUUGUUCGGAAUCACUGGGCGUAAAGGGCGCGUAGGCGGCCUGAUAAGUAGGGGGUGAAAUCCUGCGGCUUAACCGCAGGGCUGCCUUCUAAACUGUCAGGCUAGAGCACAGUAGAGGCAGGUGGAAUUCCCGGUGUAGCGGUGGAAUGCGUAGAGAUCGGGAAGAACAUCAGUGGCGAAGGCGGCCUGCUGGGCUGUUGCUGACGCUGAGGCGCGACAGCGUGGGGAGCAAACAGG
RNAcentral lists this ribosomal RNA (253 nucleotides) under uncultured bacterium. RNAcentral describes it as "partial 16S ribosomal RNA". It matches the Rfam family "Bacterial small subunit ribosomal RNA", at positions 524 to 776 of the family's 1533-position model. The record is from RNAcentral.